AAAUCGGGGAGCUUUAAAAAGCUGAGAGGGAUCAGACAUCCGACCCGCUGAACCUGACGGAUAAUGCCGGCGUAGGGAACCUUAUAUAUAU
This 91-nucleotide non-coding RNA is filed under the name uncultured Saccharofermentans sp. Lineage: Bacteria; Bacillati; Bacillota; Clostridia; Eubacteriales; Oscillospiraceae. The record is from RNAcentral.